Molecule: long non-coding RNA, 473 nt
Filed under: Ursus maritimus (polar bear)
Lineage: Eukaryota; Metazoa; Chordata; Mammalia; Carnivora; Ursidae
Description: lncRNA (ENSUMAG00000006384.1)
Source: RNAcentral
ACUAAUCCAUUAAAUGUAUGUUUUCCACACUUAAGGAACCAAAGAAACCUGCAGGCUCUGUCUAUUCACCCAGGGACCGCUUUCCAGGUGGUGAAAUGAACCCAGCUUCUUAGUGGAAUGGAGCGAUCACUGGAUGCCAGUAACACUACCCUACAAUGUGUAGAGGGGGAAAUGAAGGCUAGCUCAUCCGAAGGAAACUACAGGGGAAUUUUCGAUCAGCAGAAUGCAAUUAUCCAAGUUGGAAUUGUUCCAGGACACCAAAAGCGAACUUUAAAGGACCCAGCAUACACCUGACAUAUGGAAGAUACUCAAAACAGUUCCUACAAUAGAAGGAGGGAAAGCAGAGGUGGAAGGAGAGAGAAAAGGACAGAGAGGAAGGGAGAAAAUACAAAAGAUCUUUAUUGUUUAUUUCAUAAUUGAUUGAUUCUUUGAAGUAUAAUAAAGGACAGAUAUGACAGAGCCUCUAUUUUCCA